UAGGGAAUCUUCGGCAAUGGACGAAAGUCUGACCGAGCAACGCCGCGUGAGUGAAGAAGGUCUUCGGGUCGUAAAACUCUGUUGUUAGAGAAGAACAAGGACGUUAGUAACUGAACGUCCCCUGACGGUAUCUAACCAGAAAGCCACGGCUAACUACGUGCCAGCAGCCGCGGUAAUACGUAGGUGGCAAGCGUUGUCCGGAUUUAUUGGGCGUAAAGCGAGCGCAGGCGGUUUCUUAAGUCUGAUGUGAAAGCCCCCGGCUAAACCGGGGAGGGUCAUUGGAAACUGGGAGACUUGAGUGCGGAAGAGGAGAGUGGAAUUCCAUGUGUAGCGGUGAAAUGCGUAGAUAUAUGGAGGAACACCAGUGGCGAAGGCGGCUCUCUGGUCUGUAACUGACGCUGAGGCUCAAAAGCGUGGGGGGCAAACAGG
RNAcentral lists this ribosomal RNA (429 nucleotides) under Gemmatimonadota bacterium. RNAcentral's name for it is "Gemmatimonadetes bacterium partial 16S ribosomal RNA". It matches the Rfam family "Bacterial small subunit ribosomal RNA", at positions 355 to 776 of the family's 1533-position model. The record is from RNAcentral. Lineage: Bacteria; Pseudomonadati; Gemmatimonadota.